CUUAAGUGGGGAAUAACGCAUCGAAAGGUGUGCUAAUACCGCAUAAUCUCUGAGGAGAAAAGCAGGGGAUCGCAAGACCUUGCGCUUUUGGAGCGGCCGAUGUCUGAUUAGCUUGUUGGUAAGGUAAAAGCUUACCAAGGCUUCGAUCAGUAGCUGGUCUGAGAGGACGACCAGCCACACUGGGACUGAGACACGGCCCAGACUCCUACGGGAGGCAGCAGUGGGGAAUUUUGGACAAUGGGGGCAACCCUGAUCCAGCCAUGCCGCGUGAGUGGAGAAGGCCUUCGGGUUGUAAAGCUCUUUCAGCCGGAACGAAACGGUUACGGUUAAUACCCGUGACUACUGACGGUACCGGAAGAAGAAGCACCGGCUAACUACGUGCCAGCAGCCGCGGUAAUACGUAGGGUGCGAGCGUUAAUCGGAAUUACUGGGCGUAAAGCGUGCGCAGGUGGUUUUGUAAGUCAGAUGUGAAAUCCCCGGGCUCAACCUGGGAACUGCGUUUGAAACUACAAGGCUAGAGUGUGGCAGAGGGGGGUGGAAUUCCGCGUGUAGCAGUGAAAUGCGUAGAGAUGUGGAGGAACACCGAUGGCGAAGGCAGCCCCCUGGGUCAACACUGACGCUCAGGCACGAAAGCAUGGGGAGCAAACAGGAUUAGAUACCCUGGUAGUCCAUGCCCUAAACGAUGUCAACUAGUUGUCGGGCCUUAACGGGCUUGGUAACGUAGCUAACGCGUGAAGUUGACCGCCUGGGGAGUACGAUCGCAAGAUUAAAACUCAAAGGAAUUGACGGGGACCCGCACAAGCGGUGGAUUAUGUGGAUUAAUUCGAUGCAACGCGAAAAACCUUACCUACCCUUGACAUGUAUCGAAGCCCGCAGAAAAGCGGGGGUGCCCGAAAGGGAACGAUAACACAGGUGCUGCAUGGCUGUCGUCAGCUCGUGUCGUGAGAUGUUGGGUUAAGUCCCGCAACGAGCGCAACCCUUGUCAUUAAUUGCCAUCAUUUAGUUGGGCACUUUAAUGAGACUGCCGGUGACAAACCGGAGGAAGGUGGGGAUGACGUCAAGUCCUCAUGGCCCUUAUGGGUAGGGCUUCACACGUAA
This 1098-nucleotide ribosomal RNA is filed under the name uncultured ammonia-oxidizing bacterium. RNAcentral describes it as "bacterial SSU rRNA". It matches the Rfam family "Bacterial small subunit ribosomal RNA", at positions 131 to 1225 of the family's 1533-position model. The record is from RNAcentral.